GUGGGGAAUUUUGGACAAUGGGCGCAAGCCUGAUCCAGCCAUGCCGCGUGCAGGAUGAAGGCCUUCGGGUUGUAAACUGCUUUUGUACGGAACGAAAAGACUCUGGUUAAUACCUGGGGUCCAUGACGGUACCGUAAGAAUAAGCACCGGCUAACUACGUGCCAGCAGCCGCGGUAAUACGUAGGGUGCGAGCGUUAAUCGGAAUUACUGGGCGUAAAGCGUGCGCAGGCGGUGCUGUAAGACAGGCGUGAAAUCCCCGGGCUCAACCUGGGAAUUGCGCUUGUGACUGCAGUGCUGGAGGGCGGCAGAGGGGGAUGGAAUUCCGCGUGUAGCAGUGAAAUGCGUAGAUAUGCGGAGGAACACCGAUGGCGAAGGCAAUCCCCUGGACCUGUACUGACGCUCAUGCACGAAAGCGUGGGGAGCAAACAGGAUUAGAAACCCGUGUAGUCC
This 450-nucleotide ribosomal RNA is filed under the name uncultured bacterium. RNAcentral's name for it is "partial 16S ribosomal RNA". It matches the Rfam family "Bacterial small subunit ribosomal RNA", at positions 354 to 796 of the family's 1533-position model. The record is from RNAcentral.